Non-coding RNA from Myodes glareolus (Bank vole), 641 nucleotides. NCBI's taxonomy places the organism in Eukaryota, Metazoa, Chordata, Mammalia, Rodentia, Cricetidae. The record is from the annotation of a RefSeq genome assembly.
GCCCUGUCACUGCAGGUCAGGCAGAGGAGACCAGACCUGGAUUCCCAAAUCCUUCCAGUCAGGGUUCAGCGCUAAAUACAGGCCACUCACCAUGGACUUAGGGCUUAUACUGGUUUUCUCUGUCCUUAUUUUAAAAGGUGUCCAGUGUGAUGUGCAGUUGCUGGAGUCUGGGGGAGGCUUAGUGCAGCCUGGAAAGUCCCUGAAACUCUCCUGUGCAGCCUCUGGAUUCACCUUUAGUAGUUACCCAAUGAACUGGGUCCGCCAGUCUCCUGGGAAGGGGCUGGAGUGGGUUGCAUACAUUAGUAGUGGUGGUGGUAGCACCUACUAUACCGACGCUGUGAAGGGCCGGUUCACAAUCUCCAGAGACAAUGCCAAGAACACUCUGUACCUGGAAAUGAGCAGUCUGAGGUCUGCAGACACAGCCAUGUACUACUGUGCAAGAGACACAGUGAGUGAAUGUUACUGUGCGCCCAGACAAAAGCACACUGUGGGGAACACUGGACCAGCAGGGGGCGCUGAGAGCACUUAGAGAUCUGGGGCACAGAAGAGCCUGCUCAGAAAAGCAUGAAGGACUGGAUUUCUGUGUCUCACUGCCUCUCCAUAUCACACUUAGGGAUUUUCUCUACAGGUAUUUUGUGUAG